RNAcentral lists this ribosomal RNA (479 nucleotides) under uncultured bacterium. RNAcentral's name for it is "partial 16S ribosomal RNA". It matches the Rfam family "Bacterial small subunit ribosomal RNA", at positions 28 to 506 of the family's 1533-position model. The record is from RNAcentral.
GAUGAACGCUAGCGGCAGGCCUAACACAUGCAAGUCGAGGGGGAGGUUACUUUCGGGUAACUGAGACCGGCGUACGGGUGCGUAACGCGUAUACAAUCUGCCUUUCACUGUGGGACAGCCCGAAGAAAGUUGGAUUAAUACCCCAUAGUAUAGUAAUACGGCAUCGUGAUGCUAUUAAAGCUUAGGUGGUUAAAGAUGAGUAUGCGUUCUAUUAGCUAGUUGGAGAGGUAAGGGCUCCCGAAGGCGAUGAUAGAUAGGGGUUCGGAGAUGGAUGUCCCCGAAACUGGUACUGGGAUCCGGACCCGACUCCUGCCGGAGGCAGCGGUGAGGGGUAUUGGACCAUGGUCGUGAUCCUGACCCAGCCAUGCCGCGUGCAGGAUGUAGGUGUUAUGGAUUGUAAUCUGUUUUUGUAAGAGAAGACAAAGGGCUACGCGUAGUUUGUUGCCGGUCCCUUACGAAUAAGCAUCGCCUACCUCCGU